UAGUGUCAAGAACAAGGGUUAUGUGUACAAGAUGAUUAUUUUUACGUAUGUUAUUUCUAUACAUUUUAAACUCCAAAUCUAUAAUCUUCUGUAAACGCCAAACUCACACACCUUGUUUGCCUCGUGUAGAAGGACAAGGUGCUCCAAACUAAUCCAUCCACCAACUCACUCGCGGGAAUUCAGUAGGAAAAGCUUGCAACCACCACACAUGCCAUAUUUAAAUGUUGAUGAGGAUGAUGCUAAGAAAAGAAGUAGCGUUGAUGCCUAGA
This 269-nucleotide long non-coding RNA is filed under the name Helianthus annuus (common sunflower). Its description in RNAcentral is "sRNA HanXRQr2_Chr08g0346821". Lineage: Eukaryota; Viridiplantae; Streptophyta; Magnoliopsida; Asterales; Asteraceae. The record is from RNAcentral.